GUCCAGGGAUGGGAAUCGAACCCACAGUGUUCCGCUUACCGGGCAAAUACCAUGUCCACUAGGCUACCCUGGA
Molecule: transfer RNA, 73 nt
Filed under: Cordylochernes scorpioides
Lineage: Eukaryota; Metazoa; Arthropoda; Arachnida; Pseudoscorpiones; Chernetidae
Description: tRNA-Thr
Source: RNAcentral